This 534-nucleotide ribosomal RNA is filed under the name uncultured bacterium. RNAcentral describes it as "bacterial SSU rRNA". It matches the Rfam family "Bacterial small subunit ribosomal RNA", at positions 363 to 917 of the family's 1533-position model. The record is from RNAcentral.
AUUCGGANGGGCGCAGCCUGACCGAGCACUCCGCGUGAGGGAAGAAGGUCUUCGGAUCNUAAACCUUUGUCUUUGGGGAAGAUAAUGACGGUACCCAAGGAGGAAGCCACGGCUAACUACGUGCCAGCAGCCGCGGUAAUACGUAGGUGGCAAGCGUUGUCCGGAAUUACUGGGCGUAAAGGGCGUGUAGGCGGCGAUGUAAGUCAGACGUGAAAACUCCGGGCUUAACUUGGAGAUUGCGUUUGAAGCUGUAUGGCUAGAGGAUCGGAGAGGGCAGUGGAAUUCCCAGUGUAGCGGUGAAAUGCGUAGAUAUUGGGAGGAACACCAGUGGCGAAGGCGGCUGCCUGGACGACACCUGACGCUGAGGCGCGAAAGCUAGGGGAGCAAACGGGAUUAGAUACCCCGGUAGUCCUAGCCGUAAACGAUGGGUACUAGGUGUGGGAGGUAUCGACCCCUUCCGUGCCGGAGUAAACACAAUAAGUACCCCGCCUGGGGAGUACGGCCGCAAGGUUGAAACUCAAAGAAAUUGACGGA